UCAAGCUACUAAGGGCAUACGGCGGAUGCCUAGGCGCCAUCAGCCGAUGAAGGACGCGGUAAGCUGCGAAAAGCUACGGGGAACUGCAAGCAAGUAUUGAUCCGUAGAUGUCCGAAUGGGGAAACCCACCUGCCGUCAUGGGCAGGUAUCCGAAAGGAAGGGAACCCGGGGAACUGAAACAUCUAAGUACCCGGAGGAAGAGAAAUCAAACGAGAUGCCCACAGUAGCGGCGAGCGAAGAGGGCAGAGGGCAAACCGGUGAGCUACGGCUCUCCGGGGUUGAGGACUGCAUUUAGUCUCAAUGGUUUAUCCGAACUACCUGGAAAGGUAGGCAACACAGUGUAAAAGCCACGUAGGUUAAAGACCAGAGAGAUGAGCAGUAUCCAGAGUACCACGAGGCACGAGGAAUCUUGUGGGAAGCCGGGGGGACCACCCUCCAACCCUAAACACUGAAUGGCGACCGAUAGCGCAUAGUACCGUGAGGGAAAGGUGAAAAGAACCCCGGGAGGGGAGUGAAAGAGAACCUGAAACCGUAUGUCUACAAGCAGUCGGAGCGAAAGCGACGGCGUGCCUAUUGAAGAAUGAACCAACGAGUUACGUGCACUAGCGAGGUUAAGUGGAAGACACGGAGCCGAAGCGAAAGCGAGUCUUAAGAGGGCGGAUAGUUAGUGUACGUAGACCCGAAACCGCAGUGAUCUACCCAUGUCCAGGUUGAAGCGCAGGUAAAAUUGCGUGGAGGACCGAACCUGUGAGCGUUGAAAAGCUUUAGGAUGAGAUGUGGGUAGAGGUGAAAUUCCAAUCGAACGCGGAGAUAGCUGGUUCUCCCCGAAAUAGCUUUAGGGCUAGCCUCAAGUAGUAAGUAUAGGCGGUAGAGCACUGAUCGGGCUAGGGGCCAUAAAGGUUACCGAACCCUGUCAAACUCCGAAUGGUUAUACUGUAGAGCUUGGGAGUCAGACUACGAGUGAUAAGAUCCGUGGUCAAAAGGGAAACAGCCCAGACCACCAGCUAAGGUCCCCAAUGUCGUACUAAGUGGAAAAGGAUGUGGGGUCUCUAAAACAACCAGGAUGUUGGCUUAGAAGCAGCCACCAUUUAAAGAGUGCGUAAUAGCUCACUGGUCGAGAGACCCUGCGCCGAAGAUUACCGGGGCUAAAGUACGAAACCGAAGCUGUGGCUACGACUUAGGUCGUGGGGUAGGGGAGCGUUCUGUGAGGGCUGAAGUCGUUCUGUAAGGAACGGUGGACUUCACAGAAGUGAGAAUGUUGGUAUGAGUAGCGAAAAGAAUGGUGAGAAUCCAUUCCACCGAAAGCAUAAGGAUUCCUGGGCAACGAUCGUCGUCCCAGGGUAAGUCGGGACCUAAUCCGAGGCAUGGAGCGUAGGAGAUGGACAACUGGCAGAUAUUCCAGUACCGGUAAUGAUUGUUUGAGCGAUGGAGUGACACAGGAGGGCAGGCAGGCAGGAGAUUGGUUGUUCCUGUACAAGCGUGUAGGGUGGAACGUAGGCAAAUCCGCGUUCUGUGAGCCUGAGGCGUGAUGUGGAGGUUCCGGAAACGGAACUGAAGCUGCUGACCCCACACUGUCGAGAAAAGCUUCUAGUUAGAGAAUUACCGCCCGUACCGUAAACCGACACAGGUAUGCGGGGAGAGAAUCCUAAGGUGCGCGGGAGAACCCUCGUUAAGGAACUCGGCAAAAUGUACCCGUAACUUCGGGAUAAGGGUAGCCGCUGUUGUGAAGUCUGAACAGACGGAGCAUGAGGCGGUCGCAGAGAAGAGGCCCAAGCGACUGUUUACCACAAACACAGGUGCCUGCUAAAGAGAAAUCUGACGUAUAGGUGCUGACACCUGCCCAGUGCCGGAAGGUUAAGGAAGGAUGUCCGGAGCAAUCCAAAGCAUUCGACCGAAGCCCCGGUGAACGGCGGCCGUAACUAUAACGGUCCUAAGGUAGCGAAAUUCCUUGUCGGGUAAG
RNAcentral lists this ribosomal RNA (1960 nucleotides) under human gut metagenome. RNAcentral's name for it is "bacterial LSU rRNA". It matches the Rfam family "Bacterial large subunit ribosomal RNA", at positions 3 to 1980 of the family's 2925-position model. The record is from RNAcentral.